CAGGCACCAGAUAGCUACUCUUGUAUUUACAAGAGAGGAAAGUCCGAGCACAGCCCUAUUUAUAGGGAGAAAGGUAGUGGGUAACGCCCACAUAUAGAAAUAUAUAGGUGCGAACAGAAACGACCCGGUUAAGUCCGGCUGAAACGGCUAAAUCCUUACCCCUGUGCAAGAUCGUGUCCUUCGGCAAGCUCAGGACUAGUCCCGAGUGGAAUCGAGGGGAGAAUCGCUUGAGGCUUAGAGUAAUCUAAGUCCUAGAUAAAUUGCUAUCGUCCUGUGCAAAAGCCCAGGAAACAGAACUCGGCUUACAAGUGCCUUAGCAUA
This 321-nucleotide RNase P RNA is filed under the name Minisyncoccota bacterium. Its description in RNAcentral is "RNase P RNA component class A". It matches the Rfam family "Bacterial RNase P class A". From Rfam's summary of the family: Ribonuclease P (RNase P) is a ubiquitous endoribonuclease, found in archaea, bacteria and eukarya as well as chloroplasts and mitochondria. Its best characterised activity is the generation of mature 5'-ends of tRNAs by cleaving the 5'-leader elements of precursor-tRNAs. Cellular RNase Ps are ribonucleoproteins. The record is from RNAcentral. Lineage: Bacteria; Bacillati; Minisyncoccota.